Molecule: small nucleolar RNA, 134 nt
Organism: Fukomys damarensis (Damara mole-rat)
Lineage: Eukaryota; Metazoa; Chordata; Mammalia; Rodentia; Bathyergidae
Source: Ensembl
GGUGGCCCUUAUUGCAGCUGCAGCUGCUUUUCUACAGUUGCUGCAUUCAAAAAGGAGCCCAGAGUUAACAAUUUUCCUUGAGGUCCCAUUCUGUUUGUUGUAACUGAUCUGCAACACUUUGGGGAAAGACAGUU